Molecule: non-coding RNA, 73 nt
Organism: Trichonephila inaurata madagascariensis
Lineage: Eukaryota; Metazoa; Arthropoda; Arachnida; Araneae; Nephilidae
Source: the annotation of a GenBank genome assembly
AUCCCUGUGGCACAAUGGAUAGUGCGUUGGACUUCUAAUCCAAAGACCUUGGGUUCCAUACCCACCUGGGAUG